Telopea speciosissima is the source of this 324-nucleotide long non-coding RNA. RefSeq lists it as uncharacterized. The record is from RefSeq and is a predicted model, not a curated record. The transcript is spliced from 2 exons. NCBI's taxonomy places the organism in Eukaryota, Viridiplantae, Streptophyta, Magnoliopsida, Proteales, Proteaceae.
UCUCAUUCUUGGGCACUGUUGUGGCUACAUGGCAGGAAUCCUGUAUGAAAACUUGUUAACCAGACGGCACAACAAUUCAGGCUGCUCAAUCAACGGUAAAGCUGCUAGAUGAUCUACACCCAACAGCUCAUACACACAUUGGUCUUUUAUAUUUCAUAAUAUUUGGUGAUUUGCUGAGAAUUGAAUGUAAGCAUCAGGACCAUUCGUAUGAUCAUUCAAUGGCUCUCAUUUAUGGAGAUAUAAUCUAUUCAGCAAGGCUUCCUCUUGUCCACCUUUAAGUGGAGAUUGAACCAUUUCUUCUUUUUCGCCCUAUCCCUUGCAGGC